Long non-coding RNA from Clarias gariepinus (North African catfish), 962 nucleotides. RefSeq lists it as uncharacterized. Lineage: Eukaryota; Metazoa; Chordata; Actinopteri; Siluriformes; Clariidae. The transcript has 3 exons. The record is from RefSeq and is a predicted model, not a curated record.
CGGCUUCCUCUUCUUGCCGGCUCCGGCGCCCUGUAUCCCGGUACCCGCCUCAGGCUCUACCGCAGUUCGAAUAGCAGCUAAACCCCCAUCCAUCGUUCAGCUCUCCUGCUGUGUGUUUUACAAUAGAGGUGGUAUCAAAAGGUUUCAAGACUAGUUUUAUAACAUGACAACAGAUGGCAGCACAAGCAGUCACAGAGAGCACCGACCUUCAUAAGUCAGUGUGCCAAAAGACAUCAUCCUGUGUUCAUUUGGAGGACAUCUUCCCAUGUCUGCGAUUUCAUCACGGACAGCAAGAUAAUGAAGCUCCAGCUCGAUGGUCGUCAUUUCGACAACAUAGCCGAGGUCCAGCUUGAAUCGCAGAAGGUGCUUGACGCACUUCCAAAAGAAGAUUUUUUUGGUCUUGUAAACAUAUCUAAUUGAAAGUUUUUUAAACUACCUUGUAUAAGCUUUCAUAAAUAUUCAGCACCUCAAUCUCAAGGAUAUUACCACAGACAUCUAAGUAUAGUCUUCUCUUAUAAAUUAAAAUGAAUUUUUGAUCUUAGGAGGUACAGCGACAUCUAGUGGUUAACAAAAAUUAAAGCAUCCAUUCAAUAAAGCACUAUCACUCCAAGUGAAUCAUUUGAUGUUUGUUCAAUUUCAAUGGAGAUCAAACCUAGAGAACAAUUUAUUAACACUUACUUUUUAUUUAUUUUUAAAUUAUUGGUAAUCUUUAGCGCUCUUUAGAUGUGGUGGUGGACUUGAAAUGAGACAAUUUUUCUGUGCCAUUGAGCGAAUAGUGUCUGGGGUCUCUCCCAUUAACUUUUUAACAAAAAGGUUCAAAUAUAUGCCUUGACAAAAUGGUUAUUUUGGAUAUCAAGGGGUAAAUUGGCAGGUGCUCAAGCACCCUUAGCACCAGCCCACCCCAACCCCUAUUUACGUACAGUACAUAUCACAACUGAUUUACCAACAUUUUCUUUGCACUA